AAACCUUGACCUCAAAUCGGGUGAGACUACUGGCUGAAUUAA
Molecule: ribosomal RNA, 42 nt
Filed under: Russula delica
Lineage: Eukaryota; Fungi; Basidiomycota; Agaricomycetes; Russulales; Russulaceae
Description: partial 28S ribosomal RNA
Source: RNAcentral